Molecule: long non-coding RNA, 305 nt
Organism: Myotis davidii
Lineage: Eukaryota; Metazoa; Chordata; Mammalia; Chiroptera; Vespertilionidae
Exons: 2
Source: RefSeq, a predicted model, not a curated record
GCUACAUGGAACAAGAUGUAUACAAUAUCCUGCUGCGAAUCCUCAGCAGGCAGGAGAAGAGGGGCAGCGCGGGCCCUGAGGGGUCCGGGAUUCCUCUCCUGGAGUAAGAGCACCCCUGGCUGCCAGAGGCUCCAUCAGGCUGUAGUGGGUGGGAGGUUGGCCAUUAGGGAUAGUGUGGGUGAGCUUUGCCUGACAUGAGGGAGCCCAGACCUGAGAAUCGGAACCCUGGAAUCAGCAUGGAUGAAACCAGAGGACGUACGGAUGGAAGCCAGCUCUGUAACAAAUAAAGCAGGGGCAAUACGAUA